AAAUUGAAGAGUUUGAUCAUGGCUCAGAUUGAACGCUGGCGGCAGGCCUAACACAUGCAAGUCGAACGGUAACAGGAAGCAGCUUGCUGCUUUGCUGACGAGUGGCGGACGGGUGAGUAAUGUCUGGGAAACUGCCUGAUGGAGGGGGAUAACUACUGGAAACGGUGGCUAAUACCGCAUAAUGUCGCAAGACCAAAGAGGGGGACCUUCGGGCCUCUUGCCAUCAGAUGUGCCCAGAUGGGAUUAGCUUGUUGGUGAGGUAA
This 263-nucleotide ribosomal RNA is filed under the name Salmonella enterica. Its description in RNAcentral is "partial 16S ribosomal RNA". It matches the Rfam family "Bacterial small subunit ribosomal RNA", at positions 1 to 260 of the family's 1533-position model. Lineage: Bacteria; Pseudomonadati; Pseudomonadota; Gammaproteobacteria; Enterobacterales; Enterobacteriaceae. The record is from RNAcentral.